Molecule: ribosomal RNA, 459 nt
Filed under: uncultured bacterium
Lineage: Bacteria
Description: partial 16S ribosomal RNA
Rfam family: Bacterial small subunit ribosomal RNA
Source: RNAcentral
CCUACGGGAGACAGCAGUGAGGAAUAUUGGUCAAUGGUCGGGAGACUGAACCAGCCAAGCCGCGUGAGGGAUGAAGGUACAGAGUAUCGUAAACCUCUUUUGUCAGGGAACAAAGGCGGGGACGUGUCCCCGGAUGAGUGUACCUGAAGAAAAAGCAUCGGCUAACUCCGUGCCAGCAGCCGCGGUAAUACGGAGGAUGCGAGCGUUAUCCGGAUUUAUUGGGUUUAAAGGGUGCGCAGGCGGUCUGUUAAGUCAGCGGUAAAAGCCCGGGGCUCAACCCCGGCCCGCCGUUGAAACUGGCAGUCUCGAGUUGGAGAGAAGUAUGCGGAAUGCGCGGUGUAGCGGUGAAAUGCAUAGAUAUCACGAAGAACUCCGAUUGCGAAGGCAGCAUGCCGGCUCCACACUGACGCUGAGGCACGAAAGCGUGGGUAUCGAACAGGAUUAGAUACCCCAGUAGUC